Trichomonas vaginalis G3 is the source of this 888-nucleotide non-coding RNA. NCBI's taxonomy places the organism in Eukaryota, Parabasalia, Trichomonadida, Trichomonadidae. The record is from Rfam.
UACUUGGUUGAUCCUGCCAAGGAAGCACACUUAGGUCAUAGAUUAAGCCAUGCAAGUGUUAGUUCAGGUAACGAAACUGCGAAUAGCUCAUUAAUACGCUCAGAAUCUAUUUGGCGGCGACCAACAGGUCUUAAAUGGAUAGCAGCAGCAACUCUGGUGCUAAUACAUGCGAUUGUUUCUCCAGAUGUGAAUUAUGGAGGAAAAGUUGACCUCAUCAGAGGCACGCCAUUCGACUGAGUGACCUAUCAGCUUGUACUUAGGGUCUUUACCUAGGUAGGCUAUCACGGGUAACGGGCGGUUACCGUCGGACUGCCGGAGAAGGCGCCUGAGAGAUAGCGACUAUAUCCACGGGUAGCAGCAGGCGCGAAACUUUCCCACUCGAGACUUUCGGAGGAGGUAAUGACCAGUUCCAUUGGUGCCUUUUGGUACUGUGGAUAGGGGUACGGUUUUCCACCGUACCGAAACCUAGCAGAGGGCCAGUCUGGUGCCAGCAGCUGCGGUAAUUCCAGCUCUGCGAGUUUGCUCCCAUAUUGUUGCAGUUAAAACGCCCGUAGUCUGAAUUGGCCAGCAAUGGUCGUACGUAUUUUUACGUUCACUGUGAACAAAUCAGGACGCUUAGAGUAUGGCCACAUGAAUGACUCAGCGCAGUAUGAAGUCUUUGUUUUCUUCCGAAAACAAGCUCAAUGAGAGCCAUCGGGGGUAGAUCUAUCUCAUGACGAGUGGUGGAAUACUUUGACUCAUGAGAGAGAAGCUGAGGCGAAGGCGUCUACCUAGAGGGUUUCUGUCGAUCAAGGGCGAGAGUAGGAGUAUCCAACAGGAUUAGAGACCCUGGUAGUUCCUACCUUAACGAUGCCGACAGGAGUUUGUCAUUUUGUUAAUGGCAGAAUC